CCUACGUGCGGCAGCAGUGAGGCAUAUUGGUCAAUGGGCGCGAGCCUGAACCAGCCAAGUAGCGUGAAGGAUGACUGCCCUACGGGUUGUAAACUUCUUUUAUAAGGGAAUAAAGUGUGCCACGUGUGCCUUUUUGUAUGUACCAUAUGAAUAAGGAUCUGCUAACUCCGUGCCAGCAGCCGCGGUAAUACGGAGGAUCCGAGCGUUAUCCGGAUUUAUUGGGUUUAAAGGGAGCGUAGGUGGAUUGUUAAGUCAGUUGUGAAAGUUUGCGGCUCAAACGUAAAAUUGCAGUUGAAACUGGCAGCCUUGAGUACAGUAGAGGUAGGCGGAAUGCGUGGUGUAGCGGUGAAAUGCUUAGAUAUCACGAAGAACUCCGAUUGCGAAGGCAGCUUACUGGACUGCAACUGACACUGAGGCUCGAAAGUGUGGGUAUCAAACAGGAUUAGAUACCCCAGUAGUC
This 460-nucleotide ribosomal RNA is filed under the name uncultured bacterium. RNAcentral describes it as "partial 16S ribosomal RNA". It matches the Rfam family "Bacterial small subunit ribosomal RNA", at positions 338 to 795 of the family's 1533-position model. The record is from RNAcentral.